This 253-nucleotide ribosomal RNA is filed under the name uncultured bacterium. RNAcentral describes it as "partial 16S ribosomal RNA". It matches the Rfam family "Bacterial small subunit ribosomal RNA", at positions 524 to 776 of the family's 1533-position model. The record is from RNAcentral.
GACGUAGGGCGCGAGCGUUGUCCGGAUUGAUUGGGCGUAAAGAGUUCGUAGGCGGCUUGUCGCGUCGUCCGUGAAAACUUGGGGCUCAACCCCAAGCUUGCGGUCGAUACGGGCAGGCUCGAGUUCGGUAGGGGAGGCUGGAAUUCCUGGUGUAGCGGUGAAAUGCGUAGAUAUCUGGAGGAAUACCGGUGGCGAAGGCGCCAUCCUGGACCGACAUUGACGCUGAAUACCGCAAGCUAGGGGAGCAAACGGG